RNAcentral lists this unclassified non-coding RNA (1697 nucleotides) under Leishmania donovani. Its description in RNAcentral is "gene:LdHU3.20.1900(CDS-product:hypothetical_prote in)". Lineage: Eukaryota; Euglenozoa; Kinetoplastea; Trypanosomatida; Trypanosomatidae. The record is from RNAcentral.
CAACCCAUCGGUGCUCAGUCCGGGAGGAGCGUGCGAGGAAAGCGGCCACCAAGGUUGCAGCACAUUCUCCCCUCCCACACACACACACAUCGUGCAUGGCGACUACAUCGACACCGAUGUGCGCACUGUAUUGGAGCAGCUCUCCUUGUGUCCGUCGACGACGGUAUCACAGCGCUAUCUGCUUGCCUCGCCGUCAUCCAAGCGGGCCUUCUCCCGGUGGAAGCAGUAUCACCGCGCUUUCUACACACAGGCGCACAACCGCGGCUACGUGAGCCGGCUGCGGCGCCAGCGCAGGGCCAGCACCAUCCGGGGGUCACUAUUUCUACGUGACGGGUCGCCAGCGCCGCUGGCUAUGUGCAGGUGGACAGCGGCUGACCGCGACGCGCUGCAGCGCCUGGCUCCGUCUGAGCGCAGCCCAAUGGUAGAGGUGCUGGAAAGGUUGGAGUCGCAGGGCCACAACAAGCCGUCGAGCCCGAUGGCGUGCAUCCGCCCCAACGAGCCGGAGCACAUGCCGAACCUGCAUCACCACGUUCCAUCAGAACUCGCGCCUGCCUGCUGUGCAAGGUCGAGGAUGCCCCUCCAGGGGCACUGUGAGGCCAACGAGGAGUGUGUCGCGCACAACAGAGUACCAAAGGAGUACGCAACGUGGCUCUAGUAGUGUCCCGCAGCGUAGAGGGUGGGGAUGAGCAGCGGCGGUACCGGGGAGUGGUGACAUGCGGAUGCUGUAGCAAGCGGAUGCAGCAGCGCCAUGCUGAGCCGCAAGGAGCCACCGCCGCUGCGCUCUCUGCUCCCUUCCAUCCAUGCGUGCUUGUUUGGGCAAGCGUGAAUGCUACAUUCAAGGCAGUGUUCGCGAACGCCUCUCCCUCGGUGUUGGCGUGGCCCGCCCAUCUCCUGCUCGCCCCUUGCAGCCGCUCCGAAUACGCAUGCACCUCUGUGUGCGCACUCCUCCCUCCCUCUGGGCAUGUGUUGGCAUGCCCCCUCCUCUUCUUGUUUCUCUCUCGGGAUAUGCUUUUCUGGCUUUCUGGAACCACAACGCGGUGAUGGUGUUGGCGCUGAUGCGUGUACUCGUGCACCAUCGCACACGCACACACGGAGAGAACGAGCGGGACAGAGUAGCCAUCUGCAGGUGCUCCUUUGUCUACCACUGUGUCAGUGGUGGUGCGGAGGAGCCGCCACGAAGUCACGCGCGCCGCCACCGUCGCUCACCUGUUUUAUUUUUUUUUCUGUUCUGUGUGGGGAAGAGAGCGGGGUUGUGCUACUCGUCGGAGCGACGCGCCUUCCCCCCCCCCUUCUCUGUGGUGAUGUCUUGCGUUUUUCGCUGUGCCCUCCCCCUUGUUAGCCCACACCGUGAUAGCCCUGUCUAGGGCGGUCAACCAGAAUGACACACACACACAUGCACGGUGACAUACGAGAUGCACAGCUCAGCGGCUUCCGCUUCAGCGAUCUCGCUUGUGUGCGUGUCUGUGUGCGCGCUGCUGCGUCGUUUUUUCGCCGCACGCCCUCCCCAUCUCCGUGGCAGUGCGAGCCUCAUCAGCAUUCCGGCAGGCAAAGAGAAGGAAAGGGGCAAGAGCAUCGUCGCUCUUCUCCAUGUGCGAUCAAAACCCCAUGCGCAGCACUCUCUGGCAUCCGCGUUGGUACCCCCAUCUGUGUGUGUGUGUGUGUGUCUUCCUCCCCAUGACCUCUCUGUAAUCCCGCAG